GCAGGUGGUUUGUUAAGUCAGAUGUGAAAGCCCGGGGCUCAACCUCGGAAUUGCAUUUUGAAACUGGCAAACUAGAGUACUGUAGAGGGGGUAGAAUUUCAGGUGUAGCGGUGAAAUGCGUAGAGAUCUGAAGGAAUACCGGUGGCGAAGGCGGCCCCCUGGACAGAUACUGACACUCAGAUGCGAAAGCGUGGGGAGCAAACAGGAUUAGAUACCCUGGUAG
This 223-nucleotide ribosomal RNA is filed under the name uncultured bacterium. Its description in RNAcentral is "partial 16S ribosomal RNA". It matches the Rfam family "Bacterial small subunit ribosomal RNA", at positions 571 to 793 of the family's 1533-position model. The record is from RNAcentral.